UCUAAAUUGGUUCCUGAUUUAAAAUUUUUCCCUCGAGGGAUUUUUUCCCUGGCUCAUUCAAGUAUUGUUGGUGGGUUGAUUCUUUUUUUCUCAUGGAUCCUCUCAGCAGUUGCAAUGCUUGGGAGUGUAGUUCAACAGUGUACUAAUCUUCCUUAAAUGGCAUAUGAAAAUCUGAUAUGAGUUUAAAAAAUUUUAAAUCAGGAACCAAUUUAGA
RNAcentral lists this unclassified non-coding RNA (214 nucleotides) under Hevea brasiliensis (rubber tree). The record is from RNAcentral. Lineage: Eukaryota; Viridiplantae; Streptophyta; Magnoliopsida; Malpighiales; Euphorbiaceae.